RNAcentral lists this long non-coding RNA (1361 nucleotides) under Marmota monax (woodchuck). Lineage: Eukaryota; Metazoa; Chordata; Mammalia; Rodentia; Sciuridae. The record is from RNAcentral.
GUAUACUGAUUUUGUGUCCUUUGGGUAUAAUACCAAGGACUGGGAUAACUGGGUCAAAUGGUGGUUCCAUUCCAAGUUAGGAAAGCAAAUUUGACUCAUUAAAAAAUUACCCAAGCCAGGGCUUUCACUCACUGCAAAGCCACAGCUCCCAGAGAAUAACCCAAGGGAAGAUGUGAAAUGCAAAGAUGUCUUGAGCAAGUGAACUGACUUGGGAUCAGAUUCCUGAACCUCACCAGGAGACCAGGAACAUUUUUGACAUCCUCAGCGAGCAAUCUAAGGUGCAGAGAGCCUCAGUGACUUGCCCAUCUUCUCUGCCCACCUACACUCCACAAGAUGAGGUAUUCCCAAUAACCAACUUCCUACAUCCAUUCAGGGCCUUCCAGACUAGUAGUGAUCUUGAACUCCUGCUCAUGUUUUAUAAGACUAAGGUUUUUCACCCCUUAGAAACACUAUGGCCCUAUAAUAUAGUGGUCCACUCAAAACCUUCCCAGUAGCAUUCCACUUGGAGGUAGACAGAUGGGAGGUGUUCAAUGGCUAUCUGAGAACACUGACCUCAGACAGAGCUGGAGGAGCCCUUCCCAGCAUAUCCACUGCCCACUGCCAUACCCAGCCCUUAUUUUGAGGCCAGCAAGGCCUACCUACUCCAGAAGUCUUCUUUUACCACUACCCAAGCCCACAGAGACCCUGCAGGAUCUGAAUUACAGAACAGUUAAGAUUAGGCCUCACCUGCCACUUGUCCCCAAAGACUAGGGCAUGGGACUUGCUCCUCUCCCUCCCUGCAACACAUUUUUAUUACAGACCAACUCAGUGCUUGACACAAUCCUAAGUCCAGAGGUUUGGUGAUCAGUGAGAAAAAAAAAAAAAAAACUUUUUGUGGGGCAAUGAUCAUACAGAACUUCAGAUGUCCUGGCACUAACUCAGGUGCAGUGGAUGUAAAAGCCCAGAAUAGUGAGCAGCAUAGGUGUUUCACAGACUUGAUAUACAUCAGUGGGUGGAUGGAUAUAUCUGAUGAAUAUACCUGAGGCCUGUGGAAUUUGCUACUCUGUGAUGCUCACAUCCUCUCAGAUCUUCUCAUUACAGAUACUUAGCAAAGCUAUGAAUAGAACUCAUGGCCCAUGUCCCUCUCUGUACCCAUAUUAGAAAAGGUGGGAAGCUUGUGGAGAUGAGACUUGUAAGAAUUUAGGACAGCCAGGAUGACUGGUGAGUUUAGGUCAUCACACUAGAGCAGAAACAAACACCAGCUCUGAUAGUAGUAAUGUCUAUUAAAAAAUCAUAUUUGAAUGCUACAAAAUCUCAAGCAAUGCUCUGGUGUUGCAUCUCAAAAAGGAAAUUGUUUCUAAACCUUGUAAGAUGAAAAUAUU